ACAGAGUGACAGGUGGUGCAUGGUUGUCGUCAGCUCGUGUCGUGAGAUGUUGGGUUAAGUCCCGCAACGAGCGCAACCCUUGAUCUUAGUUGCCAGCAUUUAGUUGGGCACUCUAAGGUGACUGCCGGUGACAAACCGGAGGAAGGUGGGGAUGACGUCAAAUCAUCAUGCCCCUUAUGACCUGGGCUACACACGUGCUACAAUGGAUGGUACAAAGGGCAGCGAAGCCGCGAGGUGGAGCCAAUCCCAUAAAACCAUUCUCAGUUCGGAUUGCAGGCUGCAACUCGCCUGCAUGAAGCCGGAAUCGCUAGUAAUCGCGGAUCAGCAUGCCGCGGUGAAUACGUUCCCGGGCCUUGUACACACCGCCCGUCACACCACGAGAGUUUGUAACACCCGAAGUCGGUGGGGUAACCGUAAGGAGCCAGCCGCCUAAGGUGGGACAGAUGAUUGGGGUGAAGUCGUAACAAGGUAGCCGUAUCGGAAGGUGCGGCUGGAUC
Molecule: ribosomal RNA, 497 nt
Filed under: uncultured Caryophanales bacterium
Lineage: Bacteria; Bacillati; Bacillota; Bacilli; Caryophanales
Description: bacterial SSU rRNA
Rfam family: Bacterial small subunit ribosomal RNA
Source: RNAcentral